Xenia sp. Carnegie-2017 is the source of this 295-nucleotide long non-coding RNA. RefSeq lists it as uncharacterized. Lineage: Eukaryota; Metazoa; Cnidaria; Anthozoa; Malacalcyonacea; Xeniidae. The record is from RefSeq and is a predicted model, not a curated record. The transcript has 3 exons.
GCUAAUAUUCAUGAGCAUAAUGGUCACAAGCUAUUUACAAAAUGCCUUCAUGAAACAAUUGUAGAGCUUGGCUCAAGAAAGGGUCAGCUGCUAACAAAAAAUUAGAGGAGAUGUUGACAAGGCCUUGACUAAUUGCAGAAAUUCAAAAGUUAUCCAAGUAUCACCAGACAUCAGGCUUAGAAGCCAAACAUGCUUUGGAUAAUAUGCUUGCCUCAAAGAAUACUCAUCAUUCAUAUCACUCAUUGAGUGCAAGAUAGACUGUACUGUUCAAACUUGCACCACAAUGAGAACAGCA